UCCGAUAUAAGACAAAAAUUUCUAAGUGGAGAAGCAUUUUCCUCCUCUCUUUCUCUCUCUUCAAGACUGCAGUUCUUCCUCUUCUUUUUUUAUCUCUCAUUCACCUUCAUUAAACCUUAAAUCUUAGAAAUUCAUUUAUUAUCCUUCUUUAUCUCUAUUUAAUUGCUCCAGAAUCAUUCCUCCUUCAUAUACGCACUCGCGAUUCUCGGAGCAAUUUCUCCUCUCGUCUGAAUUCGCGAUUCAAUCACCUCCAACAUCAAAUUACUAAUUCAUCAAAUUCUUAACCACCAAUAUUGCACCCAUAUGGAAUUGACUGGUUCUAGACUAUCACAACUAUCCAAUCAGGUCAUACUAGUUUCAUGGACACUUGGGAGUGUUUUAUUUAUUCAGUUUGCAGGAGGCUCAAAGUUUUAACCUCUACGUCAGUAUUCCUUUAAUUACCACCAUUGGAGGAUUUAUUUCAAAAGCAUUAACAUCUUGUUCCUUACAUUUAUUUGCAGCUUAUUGUUAUCCCACUCCAGCAACCAUCCUACGGUCUUGAAGGGAGAGAAAUAGAGGAGACAAAUGCUUCUCCAUUUGGGGAUUUUAGGGUAUAAAAGUAGUUACUCAUGUUAUGUGGGACCAUGAAAAAAAAAUUGUUGAGUCAUUUUUGUUUGUGUAACCUGCAAUUGAAGGUCAUUUUGAAGGGACCAUGGGUGCACCCUUAAAAAUAGGGACCAUAUUAGGGGCACCCG
This 734-nucleotide long non-coding RNA is filed under the name Medicago truncatula (barrel medic). RNAcentral describes it as "long non-coding RNA (MTRU_LNC002537)". The record is from RNAcentral. Lineage: Eukaryota; Viridiplantae; Streptophyta; Magnoliopsida; Fabales; Fabaceae.